Erinaceus europaeus (western European hedgehog) is the source of this 100-nucleotide small nuclear RNA. The record is from Ensembl. Lineage: Eukaryota; Metazoa; Chordata; Mammalia; Eulipotyphla; Erinaceidae.
UUGCUAUAGUAGCACAGAUACUAAAAUUGGAAUGAAGCAACAAUUACCAUGGCCCCUACAAAAAGAUGGCAUGUAAAUUCAUGAAGCAUCCCAUAUUUUG